GGUAUUGAAAUAAGGCUUUAAAUGAGUGCUAAGAGAAUGGUUGAACAAUUAUAGGCUUUCUUUAAUUAAUAAAUUGAAGUUAAUUUUUUUGUGAAGAAGCAAAAAUGAAUAUUAGGGACAAGAAGACCCUAUGAAUUUUAAAAUUAAAAAAGGAGAUUAAUAAAUAACUUUUUAAUUUUAAUUGGGGCGAUGAGAAAAGAAUAGUUAUCUUUUUUUUAUGAGUUAAUUUGACCCAUUAAUAAUGAUUAAAUGAUUAAAAUACUCUAGGGAUAACAGCGUAAUAAUUUUGGAUAGUUCAUAUAGAUAAAAUAGUUUGCGACCUCGAUGUUGGAUUAGGAUACUUUAUUGGUGGAGAAAU
Molecule: ribosomal RNA, 358 nt
Filed under: Ixodes ovatus complex sp. Group 3
Lineage: Eukaryota; Metazoa; Arthropoda; Arachnida; Ixodida; Ixodidae
Description: partial 16S ribosomal RNA
Source: RNAcentral